Hippopotamus amphibius kiboko is the source of this 1099-nucleotide long non-coding RNA. RefSeq lists it as uncharacterized. Lineage: Eukaryota; Metazoa; Chordata; Mammalia; Artiodactyla; Hippopotamidae. The transcript has 4 exons. The record is from RefSeq and is a predicted model, not a curated record.
UGAUCUCCAGUGCAAUGCUGAAGAGAAGUGGUGAGAGUGGACAGCCUUGCCUUACUCUCCAUUUUAAGCACUUAAAGAUCUUGUUCCAUUGUCUUCUGGCCUUCAUUACUUCUGAUGAGAUGUCAACUUAGUUUUAUACAUGAGAGAUUGUACUUCCUGCCUCAUAAAAGGUAGGUGUGGCCAUAUGACUUGAUCAACCAAUGAAAAGUGAAGCGUGACCGUUUCUGGGCAGAACAUUUAAGCCUGUGUGUGACUGGACACUGUCAUGUCCCUCUGUGUGAGCCUCCGGAAGGAAAACAGUCCUGCCAACACCUUGAUGUUAGCCCAGUGAGACCCAUUUCAGACUGUGACCUUCAUAACUGUAAGACAAUAAAUCUGCAUUGUUGUAAGCCACUUAAGUCUGUGGUAAUUGGUUACAGCAGCAAAAGGAAACGAAUACACUCUGUCCCAACAGCAGCAGUGCUCCAAGGUGGGGAGGCUGUCAGCCUGCAUUCCUGGGUGAGUCACCCAGAGCAAAGCCAAGCCCCCUGCUGACCAUGGCAUACCUGGAGUACCAGCAAGAAGUACAACUCUCUCCUUUUAAGCCACAGAGAUUUUGCAAGUAUCUGCUUUUACAGCAUAGCUAUGAGUCAGUACAAAUCCCACACAAAGAAUGUAACUCUGUACAACUUUGCUCUGGGACUUGAAAUUUUUUUUCAGUGGGGCCUGAGAGUUCAGACCCCUAGAAGUGAUGAAACAUUUGGGCUACUCUGACAGGAACAUCAGCAGUGGUUCAGUGUUAGUUCAGCAAGUCUGUGGAGGGCCUGGUAUGUCGUAGCUCCUCAGUGCCGUAGAGGACACACACACAGCUUCAGAAUGCUCUGCUCUUUCUCAAAGGGAGAGUAAUUGGAAGGAGAAUCUCUGAAGGCAGUAAGCCCAGAAGACAAUAUAAGGUGUGAAUUCAAGAGAACUUCAGAGAGUUUUCAUAACAGUGGAGAAGGGUUACUAUGGUGAAGAAAACUUGAGAGAGAGUAGCAUCAACAAAUACACACUACCAAAUGUAAAAUAGAUGGCUAGUGGGAAGCUACUACAGAGCACAGGGAGACCAACUUGAUGCUUU